CCUACGGGUGGCUGCAGUGGGGAAUAUUGCACAAUGGGGGAAACCCUGAUGCAGCGACGCCGCGUGAGUGACGAAGUAUUUCGGUAUUUAAAGCUCUAUCAGCAGGGAAGAAAAUGACGGUACCUGAUCAAGACUCCCCGGCUAACUACGUGCCAGCAGCCGCGGUACUACGGAGGGGGCAAGCGUUAUCCGGAUGUACUGGGUGUAAAGGGAGCGUAGACGGCAGCACACGUCUGGAGUGAAAUGUCGGGGCUUAACCCCGGAACUGCUUUGGAAACUGUGCAGUUAGAGUGCAGGAGAGGUAAGGGGAAGUCCUGGUGUAGCGGUGAAAGGC
Molecule: ribosomal RNA, 334 nt
Filed under: uncultured bacterium
Lineage: Bacteria
Description: partial 16S ribosomal RNA
Rfam family: Bacterial small subunit ribosomal RNA
Source: RNAcentral